AUUGAACGCUGGCGGCAUGCCUUACACAUGCAAGUCGAACGGCAGCACGGGUGCUUGCACCUGGUGGCGAGUGGCGAACGGGUGAGUAAUACAUCGGAACAUGUCCUGUAGAGGGGGAUAGCCCGGCGAAAGCCGGAUUAAUACCGCAUACGAUCUACGGAUGAAAGCGGGGGACCUUCGGGCCUCGCGCUAUAGGGUUGGCCGAUGGCUGAUUAGCUAGUUGGUGGGGUAAAGGCCUACCAAGGCGACGAUCAGUAGCUGGUCUGAGAGGACGACCAGCCACACUGGGACUGAGACACGGCCCAGACUCCUACGGGAGGCAGCAGUGGGGAAUUUUGGACAAUGGGCGAAAGCCUGAUCCAGCAAUGCCGCGUGUGUGAAGAAGGCCUUCGGGUUGUAAAGCACUUUUGUCCGGAAAGAAAUCCUUGGCCCUAAUACGGUCGGGGGAUGACGGUACCGGAAGAAUAAGCACCGGCUAACUACGUG
This 486-nucleotide ribosomal RNA is filed under the name uncultured bacterium. Its description in RNAcentral is "partial 16S ribosomal RNA". It matches the Rfam family "Bacterial small subunit ribosomal RNA", at positions 30 to 507 of the family's 1533-position model. The record is from RNAcentral.